RNAcentral lists this long non-coding RNA (2369 nucleotides) under Danio rerio (zebrafish). Its description in RNAcentral is "lncRNA (ENSDARG00000117704.1)". The record is from RNAcentral. Lineage: Eukaryota; Metazoa; Chordata; Actinopteri; Cypriniformes; Danionidae.
CCAAGAAACCUGUUAAGGAGCCUUAAAAUCAUAUACUGUAAAUUAUUAACCAAGAACUCAACAGCUAAAGCUGUCACAAAGGAAGUUCAGUGUAAGGUACAGGACCAGCAACGGAGAGAGGUUUGAAAUGAGCAGAAAAAGUCUUUAAAAAGGAAGAAAUGGCUUCACCCGGACACAACAGAAUACGCAGGAGCAUUGAGGAACCCCCAUAUAUAGCUGAUGUGCUUUAUCUCAAAGAUGAACUGAACAGACUUCAUGACAACACUUCAUCUGAAUGUCACGAGCAUUUAAAGAAAAUGACUGGUCUGGUUAAUGAGUUUGAAAAAGAUUACAAACAUGCAACUCGUGUCAUUAUAGAAAGAGGAAUUGCAGCUGGAAUUUCAGUCUUAGUAGCAGGAUAUGUUUUAUCUGUUUUUUCUGGAGGGGCUUCUGCAGUUGUUGGUGGAAUUGGAGCAAGUGCUGCCACAGCUGGUGUAAUCACUAUUGCUAUCGGAAGUUUUCAAAGACAACAAAAGAAGAAGAACAUAAGCAAAGCAUUUGAAGAUCAUCUGACAGAGUUACAGAACAAAAUCUCCCCUGUGAUUGAUGUGCUGCAGAAACUAUUUAAUCUAACACAGAAAAUACUGAGAGACCCUUCAAUAUCAGAGCACAAAGCUAACAUGAUACGGGAACGUUUGUCCUACUGCUUUUACCGAAUGCAACUCUUCAAGAUAAAUGACAAUAGAGAAGCCACAACACCCAUGUCUAAAAGUGUGCAUCUCACUGAGCAUUACUCACAGGUUUUCAAAGACAUGACUUAUUUGAUUAAAAUUCUUAAAGAGAUUAUUGAGGAUGACGAAGACAAGAAUAAAGACACUGACAACACACCAACAGACAAAAAAAUUGAUGAAAAAGAGUUUAAGAAAAAAUCUGAGACGUUUAUUGAUGAAAUGAGGAAAGGAAUUAAUCUAUUUCAAAAUACUAUGAAUGAAAUUAAUCAGAUAAAUAUUAGAAUCUCACAGAGAUUUGAAUAAACGUGACAAAACCAAACAAUAUAAUGAAGUCACAAACUGUUAAAUCAAACCAACUGAUAAAGAACAACAGUCAAAUGCCAACACUGCAGAUCGGCGGCUGUUGAUCUAGAUAACACAGUGUUGAUUUAAUGAACAAUCAAGCUAACAAUAAAGUAGCAAGCAUACUGGUCAUAAACUAAUAAACAAACUACUGCUUAUUAAACUAAGAUUCAAACAGACAAACAGCACAAUAACAAAAAGUAGAUGUUUCAUCUAUAACUUAACAGAUCAACUAGUUCAACAGUAAGAUCAGGACAAGAUUGUCAAAAGCCCUAUUUGGACGGAAAUAGUUUCUCAAAGGAAAAUCUGUAAAACAACAACAAUAGCUUGAAUGAUCAAACAUGCUUUUGGUUGAAGGUACAUUCGUGGAGUUCUGAGUCAUAAUUCUAUGAACCUGAAACUAUGAAGUAUAAAAUGAUAUGUUCAUGUAAAUACUAUAAUUCCAAGAUGACAGCUGUAAUCUACAUGAACCUGCAUGUAACUCUGUGCUGCAUGCCCUAGUUCACAGUACUUUUCUAAGAAGACAUCUACACUCGCAAAAGUCUUUUACACAAUUAAAAAAAAAAAACAUAUUACAAAGUCGGUUCAUUCCGCUGUGGCAAACCCCUGAUUAAUAAAGGGACUAAACCGAAGGAAAAGGAAUUAAUGAUUAUUACAAAAUUGGUAACAUAUGCGUUAAUUAAAUUUGCUACUAAAAGCGUCACUGGAAGUUUCGCUGGUUCUGCAUGAGGUGCAGUGAUCACAUGCUACAAAGUUAUCAGGAAAAAAAAAAUCACAGUUUUAUGUUGUAAAUUGCAAUUAAUUCUAUAAAGACAUGUAUGCUUUUUAUGACAUAGAAUCUCACAAUUAUGACAAAUCUAAUAUGGUGUGAACGCACCUAAACAUCAAUAAAAUCUGUGUUAUUGAUUCAAAACGUAAAAUGCCUUUUUUUUUAAAUGUCGAAAUGUGUCAUGUAAAAAAUCUGGUUUAAUAUGUCGAUGUAUGUUUCUAUAUAGGUUUUUAAAAUGUAUAUAAUUUUAUAAUAACUACCCUAUUACAUGUUUUACUCUUUUUUUCUGUACAUAGAGCCUGCUCUCUGUAUAGAGUACUUGGAGUUGUGGAUUCAGACAGCAGUUAAUUUUCACACAAUAGAAACUGAAGUACUUUGUAUGUUUUUAAAAUGAAAUAAAUACAAAUCAAAUUCUUCUAUAUACAUGUAUAGGAUUUAAAUGGUGUCAAGACUUUUGUGCUCAACUUAAGCAACAUAUAUGCUAUUUGUGACAUUUCUACUGUGGUAAUAUUUUCAGUAAAAUACUUUUUCAUUAAAGUCUUUUGCCU